Molecule: ribosomal RNA, 466 nt
Filed under: uncultured bacterium
Lineage: Bacteria
Description: bacterial SSU rRNA
Rfam family: Bacterial small subunit ribosomal RNA
Source: RNAcentral
AACGAACGCUGGCGGCAGGCCUAACACAUGCAAGUCGAACGAGUAAGAGCCGUAGCAAUACGGAGUUCUGCUAGUGGCGCACGGGUGAAUAACGCGUGGGAACGUGCCUUGGAGUUCGGGAUAACAGUUGGAAACGACUGCUAAUACCGAAUAUUCCCUCAGGGGGAAAGAUUUAUCGCUCCAAGGUCGGCCCGCGUAAGAUUAGGUAGUUGGUGGGGUAAUGGCCUACCAAGCCUACGAUCUUUAGCUGGUCUGAGAGGACGACCAGCCACACUGGAACUGAGACACGGUCCAGACUCCUACGGGAGGCAGCAGUGGGGAAUAUUGGACAAUGGGCGAAAGCCUGAUCCAGCCAUGCCGCGUGAAUGAUGAAGGCCUUAGGGUUGUAAAAUUCUUUUGCAGGGGAGGUAAUGACGGUACCUGCGAAUAAGCUCCGGCUAACUUCGUGCCUAGCAGCCGCGGUAAU